RNAcentral lists this long non-coding RNA (558 nucleotides) under Homo sapiens (human). RNAcentral's name for it is "non-protein coding lnc-GPR65-9:7". The record is from RNAcentral. Lineage: Eukaryota; Metazoa; Chordata; Mammalia; Primates; Hominidae.
CUGCUUGCCUGUACUCCAUCCUGCCACCCUGUGAAGAAGGUUCCUGCUUCUCCUUUACCUUCUGCCAUGACUGAAUGGUUCAAUAACAUUCAGUGCCCUAAAGGAGGAAAGGAGAUUGUAGUAUACUCAACUGAAUUAAGAAGAAAGACCUUCCAAUCUUCUUGUCAGGCCUCUGAGCCCAAGCUAAACCAUCGUAUGCCCUGUGACCUGCAUAUAUAUGUCCAGAUGGCCUGAAGCAAGUGAAGAAUCACAAAAGAAGUGAAAAUGGCCUGUUCCUGCCUUAACUGAUGACAUUCCACCAUUGUGAUUUGUUUCUGCCCCACCUUAACUCAGCGAUUAACCUUGUGAAAUUCCUUCUCCUGGCUCAGAAGCUCCCCCACUGAGCACCUCGUGACACCCCCACCCCUGCCCACAAGAGAAAAAACCCCCUUUGAUUGUAAUUUUCCACUACCCACCCAAAUCCUAUAAAAUGGCCCCACCCCUAUCUCCCUUUGCUGACUCUCUUUUUGGUCUCAGCCCGCCUGCACCCAGGUGAUUAAAAAGCUUUAUUGCUCACAC